AUUGAUUAUUGAUCUGGGGGACAGAGAUGGAUGUAGGAGAAGGAGAAGACACCAAGGAGUGACGGGAUGAGGACCGUGGAGCUGCUGCAGAGGUCCAUGGUAAAGUUUGAUGCACCUGUGCUGUUCUGAAUGGACCAUAUUCACCUCCACUGUCAGCCUCCUCUCUCAGCCUCAUCAUGCCUUCUGCUCGUCUGACCACCAUGGGAUUCAGGGCCUUUAGCCAAUCUGCCCUCUGCCUCUGGAACGCCCUCCCUCCUGACAUCACAAUCACCGGCACCAGCACCAUCUCUCCCUUUUCAAAUCUUGACAAAAACUCAUCAAUUCACACAAGAAUGUUUACUCUGAUCAAGCACCACGGUCCUUUUUAUUUUGCCUUCUGAUUUCUUUUUAUUGAGUGCCCUGAAAGGCACCUUGAAUAAAAUGUAUUAAUAUUAAAAUGGGCACA
This is a long non-coding RNA of Girardinichthys multiradiatus, 445 nucleotides long. RefSeq lists it as uncharacterized. Lineage: Eukaryota; Metazoa; Chordata; Actinopteri; Cyprinodontiformes; Goodeidae. The record is from RefSeq and is a predicted model, not a curated record. The transcript is spliced from 3 exons.